RNAcentral lists this long non-coding RNA (288 nucleotides) under Brachypodium distachyon (stiff brome). Its description in RNAcentral is "long non-coding RNA (BDIS_LNC004528)". The record is from RNAcentral. Lineage: Eukaryota; Viridiplantae; Streptophyta; Magnoliopsida; Poales; Poaceae.
GGGAUAUUCCUAGGUUAUGGCUUCACCCUUUAGGGCAUCUCCAAUGGUGAUUGUUACUAAUUUUUUUCUCUCUCUCUUCUUGAGUAUACAUUUUUAAUUUUUAUUCUCUUCUCUUUCUUGAUGGACCCAAAUGUCAUCCUCUUCUUUUUUCUUGGUACCCGCGUAGAGGCUGCUACUUCUUCAAGUAACCACUACCUAUUUAUUUUAUUCAAAUCUUGUUCUCAUUGGUCUAGUAUUUCUUGCUACCCGUGUAGUAACAAUUGUUGAAGAUGCCCUUAGUAUGGUUCA